GCAGGCUUAAUACAUGCAAGUCGUGGGGCAGCGCAGUGUAGCAAUACAUGGGCGGCGACCGGCAAACGGGUGCGGAACACGUACACAACCUUCCUACAAGUGGGGAAUAGCCCAGAGAAAUUUGGAUUAAUACCCCGUAACAUAUAAAGAUGGCAUCAUUUUUAUAUUAUAGCUACGGCGCUUGUUGAUGGGUGUGCGGCUGAUUAGGUAGUUGGCGGGGUAAUGGCCCACCAAGCCUGCGAUCAGUAGCUGAUGUGAGAGCAUGAUCAGCCACACGGGCACUGAGACACGGGCCCGACUCCUACGGGAGGCAGCAGUAAGGAAUAUUGGACAAUGGGCGCAAGCCUGAUCCAGCCAUGCCGUGUGAAGGAUUAAGGUCCUCUGGAUUGUAAACUUCUUUUAUAAGGGACGAAAAAAGGGAAUUCUUUCUCACUUGACGGUACCUUAUGAAUAAGCACCGGCUAACUCCGUGCCAGCAGCCGCGGUAAUACGGAGGGUGCAAGCGUUAUCCGGAUUCACUGGGUUUAAAGGGUGCGUAGGCGGGUAUUUAAGUCAGUGGUGAAAUCCUAGAGCUUAACUCUAGAACUGCCAUUGAUACUAUUUAUCUUGAAUAUUGUGGAGGUAAGCGGAAUAUGUCAUGUAGCGGUGAAAUGCUUAGAUAUGACAUAGAACACCUAUUGCGAAGGCAGCUUACUACGCAUAUAUUGACGCUGAGGCACGAAAGCGUGGGGAUCAAACAGGAUUAGAUACCCUGGGUAGUCCACGCCCUAAACGGAUGGAUACUCGACAUACGCGAAUACACUGUGGUGUGUCUGAGCGAAAGCAUUAAGUAUCCCACCUGGGNAAGUACGACCGCAAGGUUGA
Molecule: ribosomal RNA, 864 nt
Filed under: uncultured bacterium
Lineage: Bacteria
Description: bacterial SSU rRNA
Rfam family: Bacterial small subunit ribosomal RNA
Source: RNAcentral